RNAcentral lists this ribosomal RNA (468 nucleotides) under uncultured bacterium. RNAcentral's name for it is "partial 16S ribosomal RNA". It matches the Rfam family "Bacterial small subunit ribosomal RNA", at positions 28 to 507 of the family's 1533-position model. The record is from RNAcentral.
GACGAACGCUGGCGGCGUGCUUAACACAUGCGAGUCGAACGGAAAGGCCCUGCUUUUGUGGGGUGCUCGAGUGGCGAACGGGUGAGUAACACGUGAGUAACCUGCCCUUGACUUUGGGAUAACUUCAGGAAACUGGGGCUAAUACCGGAUAGGAGCUCCUGCUGCAUGGUGGGGGUUGGAAAGUUUCGGCGGUUGGGGAUGGACUCGCGGCUUAUCAGCUUGUUGGUGGGGUAGUGGCUUACCAAGGCUUUGACGGGUAGCCGGCCUGAGAGGGUGACCGGCCACAUUGGGACUGAGAUGCGGCCCAGACUCCUACGGGAGGCAGCAGUGGGGAAUAUUGCACAAUGGGCGGAAGCCUGAUGCAGCAACGCCGCGUGCGGGAUGACGGCCUUCGGGUUGUAAACCGCUUUCGCCUGUGACGAAGCGUGAGUGACGGUAAUGGGUAAAGAAGCACCGGCUAACUACGUG